Non-coding RNA from Claviceps maximensis, 98 nucleotides. NCBI's taxonomy places the organism in Eukaryota, Fungi, Ascomycota, Sordariomycetes, Hypocreales, Clavicipitaceae. The record is from the annotation of a GenBank genome assembly.
ACCAAGAUGGCCGAGUGGUUAAGGCGGUGGAUUUAAGUCAUUCUGGUCCCUCAUCUCCACUAUCGCAAGAUUCCUGGGUUCGAACCCCAGUCUUGGUA